GCCUGGAUAGCUCAGUUGGUUAGAGUGUGGUGCUAAUAAUGCCAAGACUGCAGGUUUGAUUCCCAUAUGGGGCA
RNAcentral lists this transfer RNA (74 nucleotides) under Podarcis muralis (Common wall lizard). It matches the Rfam family "tRNA". Rfam says of the family: Transfer RNA (tRNA) molecules are approximately 80 nucleotides in length. The record is from Rfam by way of RNAcentral. RNAcentral also lists the same sequence under 1 other name. Lineage: Eukaryota; Metazoa; Chordata; Lepidosauria; Squamata; Lacertidae.